GAUGGACGCUAGCUACAGGCUUAACACAUGCAAGUCGAGGGGCAGCAUGGUCUUAGCUUGCUAAGGCCGAUGGCGACCGGCGCACGGGUGAGUAACACGUAUCCAACCUGCCGUCUACUCUUGGACAGCCUUCUGAAAGGAAGAUUAAUACAAGAUGGCAUCAUGAGUCCACAUGUUCACAUGAUUAAAGGUAUUCCGGUAGACGAUGGGGAUGCGUUCCAUUAGAUAGUAGGCGGGGUAACGGCCCACCUAGUCUUCGAUGGAUAGGGGUUCUGAGAGGAAGGUCCCCCACAUUGGAACUGAGACACGGUCCAAACUCCUACGGGAGGCAGCAGUGAGGAAUAUUGGUCAAUGGGCUAGAGCCUGAACCAGCCAAGUAGCGUGAAGGAUGACUGCCCUAUGGGUUGUAAACUUCUUUUAUAAAGGAAUAAAGUCGGGUAUGCAUACCCGUUUGCAUGUACUUUAUGAAUAAGGAUCGGCUAACUCCGUGCCAGCCGCCGCCGUAA
RNAcentral lists this ribosomal RNA (506 nucleotides) under uncultured bacterium. RNAcentral describes it as "partial 16S ribosomal RNA". It matches the Rfam family "Bacterial small subunit ribosomal RNA", at positions 28 to 523 of the family's 1533-position model. The record is from RNAcentral.